Molecule: ribosomal RNA, 443 nt
Filed under: uncultured archaeon
Lineage: Archaea
Description: bacterial SSU rRNA
Rfam family: Archaeal small subunit ribosomal RNA
Source: RNAcentral
GGAAUACUGCAUAGCUAGGGAGUGGGAGAGGUAGACGGUACUCCGUAGGAAGGGGUAAAAUCCUUUGAUCUAUGGAUGACCACCUGUGGCGAAGGCGGUCUACCAGAACACGUUCGACGGUGAGGGAUGAAAGCUGGGGGAGCAAACCGGAUUAGAUACCCGGGUAGUCCCAGCUGUAAACUAUGCAAACUCAGUGAUGCAUUGGCUUGUGGCCAGUGCAGUGCCGCAGAGAAGUCGUUAAGUUUGCCGCCUGGGAAGUACGUACGCAAGUAUGAAACUUAAAGGAAUUGGCGGGGGAGCACCACAAGGGGUGAAGCCUGCGGUUUAAUUGGAGUCAACGCCAGAAAUCUUACCCGGAGAGACAGCAGGAUGAAGGUCAAGCUGAAGACUUUACCAGACAAGCUGAGAAGUGGUGCAUGGCCGUCGCCAGCUCGUGCCGUGAG